Molecule: ribosomal RNA, 1323 nt
Filed under: Enterococcus faecium
Lineage: Bacteria; Bacillati; Bacillota; Bacilli; Lactobacillales; Enterococcaceae
Description: partial 23S ribosomal RNA
Rfam family: Bacterial large subunit ribosomal RNA
Source: RNAcentral
UUCCCUGAGUAGCGGCGAGCGAAACGGGAAAAGCCCAAACCAACAAGCUUGCUUGUUGGGGUUGUAGGACUCCAAUAUGGUCGUUCUUUCAGAUAGUCGAAUGACUUGGAAAAGUCAGUCAAAGAGGGUAAAAACCCCGUAGACGAAAUGUGGAAGACACCUAGGAGGAUCCUGAGUACGGCGGAACACGAGAAAUUCCGUCGGAAUCCGGGAGGACCAUCUCCCAAGGCUAAAUACUCCCUAGUGACCGAUAGUGAACCAGUACCGUGAGGGAAAGGUGAAAAGCACCCCGGAAGGGGAGUGAAAUAGAACCUGAAACCGUGUGCCUACAACAAGUCAAAGCCCGUUAAUGGGUGAUGGCGUGCCUUUUGUAGAAUGAACCGGCGAGUUACGAUUGCAUGCGAGGUUAAGUUGAAGAGACGGAGCCGCAGCGAAAGCGAGUCUGAAUAGGGCGUUUGAGUAUGUAGUCGUAGACCCGAAACCAUGUGAUCUACCCAUGUCCAGGUUGAAGGUGCGGUAAAACGCACUGGAGGACCGAACCCACGUACGUUGAAAAGUGCGGGGAUGAGGUGUGGGUAGCGGAGAAAUUCCAAACGAACUUGGAGAUAGCUGGUUCUCUCCGAAAUAGCUUUAGGGCUAGCCUCGGAAUUGAGAAUGAUGGAGGUAGAGCACUGUUUGGACUAGGGGCCCAUCUCGGGUUACCGAAUUCAGAUAAACUCCGAAUGCCAUUCAUUCAUAUCCGGGAGUCAGACUGUGAGUGAUAAGAUCCAUAGUCGAAAGGGAAACAGCCCAGACCACCAGCUAAGGUCCCAAAAUAUAUGUUAAGUGGAAAAGGAUGUGGGGUUGCACAGACAACUAGGAUGUUGGCUUAGAAGCAGCCACCAUUUAAAGAGUGCGUAAUAGCUCACUAGUCGAGUGACCCUGCGCCGAAAAUGUACCGGGGCUAAACAUAUUACCGAAGCUGUGGAGUACACCUUUAGGUGUAUUGGUAGGAGAGCGUUCUAAGGGCGUUGAAGGCAGAUCGUGAGGACUGCUGGAGCGCUUAGAAGUGAGAAUGCCGGUAUGAGUAGCGAAAGACAGGUGAGAAUCCUGUCCACCGAAUGACUAAGGUUUCCUGGGGAAGGCUCGUCCGCCCAGGGUUAGUCGGGACCUAAGCCGAGGCCGAUAGGCGUAGGCGAUGGAUAACAGGUUGAUAUUCCUGUACCCGUUGUUUUUGUUUGAGCAAUGGAGGGACGCAGGAGGCUAAGGAAUGCAGACGAUUGGAAAUGUCUGUCCAAGCAGUAAGUCUGAAGAGGAGUCAAAUGCUUCUUUUCUUAAGGACAA